GGAAGUAAAAGUCGUAACAAGGUCUCCGUUGGUGAACCAGCGGAGGGAUCAUUACCGAGUUUACAACUCCCAAACCCCUGUGAACAUACCACUUGUUGCCUCGGCGGAUCAGCCCGCUCCCGGUAAAACGGGACGGCCCGCCAGAGGACCCCUAAACUCUGUUUCUAUAUGUAACUUCUGAGUAAAACCAUAAAUAAAUCAAAACUUUCAACAACGGAUCUCUUGGUUCUGGCAUCGACGAAGAACGCAGCAAAAUGCGAUAAGUAAUGUGAAUUGCAGAAUUCAGUGAAUCAUCGAAUCUUUGAACGCACAUUGCGCCCGCCAGUAUUCUGGCGGGCAUGCCUGUUCGAGCGUCAUUUCAACCCUCAAGCACAGCUUGGUGUUGGGACUCGCGUUAAUUCGCGUUCCUCAAAUUGAUUGGCGGUCACGUCGAGCUUCCAUAGCGUAGUAGUAAAACCCUCGUUACUGGUAAUCGUCGCGGCCACGCCGUUAAACCCCAACUUCUGAAUGUUGACCUCGGAUCAGGUAGGAAUACCCGCUGAACUUAAGCAUAUCAAUAAGCGGAGGA
This 568-nucleotide ribosomal RNA is filed under the name Fusarium oxysporum. RNAcentral's name for it is "eukaryotic LSU rRNA". The stretch from base 203 to 356 matches the Rfam family "5.8S ribosomal RNA". Lineage: Eukaryota; Fungi; Ascomycota; Sordariomycetes; Hypocreales; Nectriaceae. The record is from RNAcentral.